RNAcentral lists this ribosomal RNA (2294 nucleotides) under Staphylococcus aureus subsp. aureus CIG2018. Its description in RNAcentral is "bacterial LSU rRNA". It matches the Rfam family "Bacterial large subunit ribosomal RNA", at positions 14 to 2303 of the family's 2925-position model. The record is from RNAcentral. Lineage: Bacteria; Bacillati; Bacillota; Bacilli; Caryophanales; Staphylococcaceae.
AGGGCGCACGGUGGAUGCCUUGGCACUAGAAGCCGAUGAAGGACGUUACUAACGACGAUAUGCUUUGGGGAGCUGUAAGUAAGCUUUGAUCCAGAGAUUUCCGAAUGGGGAAACCCAGCAUGAGUUAUGUCAUGUUAUCGAUAUGUGAAUACAUAGCAUAUCAGAAGGCACACCCGGAGAACUGAAACAUCUUAGUACCCGGAGGAAGAGAAAGAAAAUUCGAUUCCCUUAGUAGCGGCGAGCGAAACGGGAAGAGCCCAAACCAACAAGCUUGCUUGUUGGGGUUGUAGGACACUCUAUACGGAGUUACAAAGGACGACAUUAGACGAAUCAUCUGGAAAGAUGAAUCAAAGAAGGUAAUAAUCCUGUAGUCGAAAAUGUUGUCUCUCUUGAGUGGAUCCUGAGUACGACGGAGCACGUGAAAUUCCGUCGGAAUCUGGGAGGACCAUCUCCUAAGGCUAAAUACUCUCUAGUGACCGAUAGUGAACCAGUACCGUGAGGGGAAAGGUGAAAAGCACCCCGGAAGGGGUAGGUGAAAUAGAACCUGAAACCGUGUGCUUACAAGUAGUCAGAGCCCGUUAAUGGGUGAUGGCGUGCCUUUUGUAGAAUGAACCGGCGAGUUACGAUUUGAUGCAAGGUUAAGCAGUAAAUGUGGAGCCGUAGCGAAAGCGAGUCUGAAUAGGGCGUUUAGUAUUUGGUCGUAGACCCGAAACCAGGUGAUCUACCCUUGGUCAGGUUGAAGUUCAGGUAACACUGAAUGGAGGACCGAACCGACUUACGUUGAAAAGUGAGCGGAUGAACUGAGGGUAGCGGAGAAAUUCCAAUCGAACCUGGAGAUAGCUGGUUCUCUCCGAAAUAGCUUUAGGGCUAGCCUCAAGUGAUGAUUAUUGGAGGUAGAGCACUGUUUGGACGAGGGGCCCCUCUCGGGUUACCGAAUUCAGACAAACUCCGAAUGCCAAUUAAUUUAACUUGGGAGUCAGAACAUGGGUGAUAAGGUCCGUGUUCGAAAGGGAAACAGCCCAGACCACCAGCUAAGGUCCCAAAAUAUAUGUUAAGUGGAAAAGGAUGUGGCGUUGCCCAGACAACUAGGAUGUUGGCUUAGAAGCAGCCAUCAUUUAAAGAGUGCGUAAUAGCUCACUAGUCGAGUGACACUGCGCCGAAAAUGUACCGGGGCUAAACAUAUUACCGAAGCUGUGGAUUGUCCUUUGGACAAUGGUAGGAGAGCGUUCUAAGGGCGUUGAAGCAUGAUCGUAAGGACAUGUGGAGCGCUUAGAAGUGAGAAUGCCGGUGUGAGUAGCGAAAGACGGGUGAGAAUCCCGUCCACCGAUUGACUAAGGUUUCCAGAGGAAGGCUCGUCCGCUCUGGGUUAGUCGGGUCCUAAGCUGAGGCCGACAGGCGUAGGCGAUGGAUAACAGGUUGAUAUUCCUGUACCACCUAUAAUCGUUUUAAUCGAUGGGGGGACGCAGUAGGAUAGGCGAAGCGUGCGAUUGGAUUGCACGUCUAAGCAGUAAGGCUGAGUAUUAGGCAAAUCCGGUACUCGUUAAGGCUGAGCUGUGAUGGGGAGAAGACAUUGUGUCUUCGAGUCGUUGAUUUCACACUGCCGAGAAAAGCCUCUAGAUAGAAAAUAGGUGCCCGUACCGCAAACCGACACAGGUAGUCAAGAUGAGAAUUCUAAGGUGAGCGAGCGAACUCUCGUUAAGGAACUCGGCAAAAUGACCCCGUAACUUCGGGAGAAGGGGUGCUCUUUAGGGUUAACGCCCAGAAGAGCCGCAGUGAAUAGGCCCAAGCGACUGUUUAUCAAAAACACAGGUCUCUGCUAAACCGUAAGGUGAUGUAUAGGGGCUGACGCCUGCCCGGUGCUGGAAGGUUAAGAGGAGUGGUUAGCUUCUGCGAAGCUACGAAUCGAAGCCCCAGUAAACGGCGGCCGUAACUAUAACGGUCCUAAGGUAGCGAAAUUCCUUGUCGGGUAAGUUCCGACCCGCACGAAAGGCGUAACGAUUUGGGCACUGUCUCAACGAGAGACUCGGUGAAAUCAUAGUACCUGUGAAGAUGCAGGUUACCCGCGACAGGACGGAAAGACCCCGUGGAGCUUUACUGUAGCCUGAUAUUGAAAUUCGGCACAGCUUGUACAGGAUAGGUAGGAGCCUUUGAAACGUGAGCGCUAGCUUACGUGGAGGCGCUGGUGGGAUACUACCCUAGCUGUGUUGGCUUUCUAACCCGCACCACUUAUCGUGGUGGGAGACAGUGUCAGGCGGGCAGUUUGACUGGGGCGGUCGCCUCCUAAAAGGUAACGG